Molecule: long non-coding RNA, 1168 nt
Organism: Lepidothrix coronata (blue-crowned manakin)
Lineage: Eukaryota; Metazoa; Chordata; Aves; Passeriformes; Pipridae
Source: Ensembl
GACUAUUCUCAGCUACUUAAUUGAAAGUAUUAUCCAUUUACAAACUUAAGGCCUGCCAUAAAAAGGCUCUCUUCUGUAUCCAAUAGACCUUUCAGAACCCUAAGAACAACAAAAUCUAAUCAAUAAAGCUUCUCUUUUCUUUUCCUCUUUUCUUAUAGGGAAGUGAAGAACUAACCUAUAGUACAUCUAAACAAAGCUAUCUGUAAAGAUCUUAUUAGCAGUGAAGACCAUAAAACUGAAGAGUCUGACUUGGCGUGGAAUGGACAGGAUCAGUUAAGUUAGGACAUGGUCUGUACUACUUUUGCAGUCUGCACUCCUACUACAGAAUGGCAGAUACAACCUACGACAAGAGCAAGGAACUUCUGCAGGAGUACAGAUGUAAGGAAUUCCUACUGUUUCCACCCACAGCUGCUCAUUCCUAUUUAUUAGUUGUGCUUAGUUGCUCCAAAAAUUGUUUUUUUCACACUGUGAAAUAAAUCAAAUAACUGAUCCAUGUUGAAAAAAUCGUACUAAAAAAAAAGAUGUGGAGGUGUCCUAAUCGUAGAGGCUGGGACCAGUUUAUCACUAUGUGGGUAUAAUCAAAACUGUAUUCUACACUCUCCAUGUAAUUUCUGAAGUACUGUUAAUAAUGGAUAAUUUGCAGUAGCUGCCCAGGGCACACCUGACACCUCAGGCUACAAGGUGGGUGUUAAAGAACUCUGGGAAGAGUGUUUCUUAGUCUUCACACCAAUGACUCAGCUGUGAUAACUCCCCUCUGGGGAGGAAUUAGCACCUUUACACCCAGCCUGAGGGGUCAUCUCUGCUAAUGGGCCAUACUGGACUGGCAUAAUAGGCAGUUCCAACAACUUAGACCAUCAAGGACUCCAAAAAUAUCCCAUGACUCACAGAGUUAAAUAACCCUGGGGGAGGUACUGGACAUUCCCAGCUGAACCUGAGCACAUAUAAUCUUGGGGUUUUGGGAUUUCUAGUCCACUUGUCAGAUCCAGAGGACGACCAGAACUUCAACAGGACUGCAACAGUCACUCUCGACAAGACUAUGAUCAUCACUUCAAAAGAACUGCAAUCAUCAUCCAGACCAUUUCCUUUUACUUUGCCUCCAGGGGGACCACAUGGUGGUCAGCACAGGGGUGGAUGAACACCACUGUGUUCUUGUCCCGGGGUGCGGGGU